RNAcentral lists this ribosomal RNA (550 nucleotides) under uncultured bacterium. Its description in RNAcentral is "bacterial SSU rRNA". It matches the Rfam family "Bacterial small subunit ribosomal RNA", at positions 355 to 896 of the family's 1533-position model. The record is from RNAcentral.
UGGGGAAUAUCGGACAAUGGGCGCAAGCCUGAUCCAGCAAUGCCGCGUGGGUGAAGACGGCCUGCGGGUUGUAAACCCCUGUCAGGGGGGGCGAAAGCCUCUCGGUGAAUAGCCGGGAGGUCUGACAGUACCCCCAAAGGAAGCCCCGGCUAACUCCGUGCCAGCAGCCGCGGUAAUACGGAGGGGGCUAGCGUUAUUCGGAAUUACUGGGCGUAAAGCGCGCGCAGGUGGCGCAAUAAGUGGCUGGUGAAAGCCCUCGGCUCAACCGAGGAACUGCCUGCCAAACUGCCGCGCUUGAGGCCGGGAGGGGGAAGCGGAAUUCCUGGUGUAGCGGUGAUAUGCGUAGAUACCAGGAGGAACACCGGUGGCGAAGGCGGCUUUCUGGACCGGUUCUGACACUCAUGCGCGAAAGCGUGGGGAGCAAACAGGAUUAGAUACCCUGGUAGUCCACGCCCUAAACGAUGGGCACUAGGCGUCGCGGGUGUCGACCCCUGCGGUGCCGUAGCUAACGCGUUAAGUGCCCCGCCUGGGGAGUACGGUCGCAAGGCUG